AUAUCAGUGACCUUAGGUUUACGCUGCUUGCAGAGCAGAAUUUCCAUUUGCACUAACACCCUUGUGAACACACGCUGAAGAAAAAGAGAACUGACCACAUCCUGCGCUCAAGCUCUACAAUGCCUCACUUCAUCAUUAAAUUAAUGAUCUUGGUGGCUUGGUUGUCUCAAGCUCAAGGUCGAGAAAUCCAUCCAGCAAGGAUUUAUGCAGUUAAAAACAGAGGCAAACUGGAGUUCACAUGCAGUACACAUGGGAUGAAGGAAACAUUCGAGAAGAACAGCAACUUAUAUAUUUACCUCUGUAGGAAUGGCACUGGCAUAGCCAUGAAAUCAGAUUGUCAAGAUGUUACAUUUAUUAUAGACGACAUUACAAAGGAUGAUACAGGAGACUACAGUUGUGUCUUUUCAUCGUAUAAGUAUGAUCCCGAGGAUGUAAGAGGAAAUGGCAUCAAUUCCAUCUUCAUUACUGUGAACGAUUCGUUCAUCCCGGCGGAGAUAGCCUCGCCGGAGACGAGUGUAAAAAUGGGAAGUGAUGUUGAUCUCCAGUGUACUUCUUUAAAAUUACCCGAGAGGAACCAGAAAGGCAACGUUUAUGCCUAUCUGUACAAGAACGGUUACACAGUGCAGAACGGCAAUGUAAUUCAGAUGAAUAUUUGGGACACAGUGAAGAACAAGGCAAGGUUUACUCUAAAAGAAGUCACGAUGCGAGACGCUGGAACGUACUUCUGUUUUCUGAUGUCAGAGCCAUGCCCUUUCCCUAAAGAAGUGCAUGGCAUCAAUGAAGUCAACCUUAACAUUACUGAAUAUGUUAAUGAAACUCUAAAGAUUACUGUUGGUUGUUCUUCUCUGCUGCUGCUGAUUAUUUUGCCUCUUGGACUUUGGGGAAUGUUUCAUAAGCAAGGUUGUUUUAAAUGCCACAGUGAAAGAUCUACCGAACAUAGGAAUGACUCAAGAGACACAGAGCUGGACCAAGGGUGUCCAAAAAGUCUCAGUACAUUGGGCACUACGUAUGCCAGCAUCCUGUCGGUUGUGCCAGCGGAUGUUCAUGGACGUCCUCGUCUCGGUUGGUACACAACACUUCCAGCCUUUAUGAAUUUGUUAAUAAGUUUGGCGACAGUGUCGUGUGUGAUGUGCUCUCCCUGUUUCCUGUUCAAGUCCAUCGCAACCUUGAGAUGGUUUCCCGAUCCAGCCAUGAGAAUGAUUUCAACAUGUAUUUCUUUUGUUAAAGGCAUUGUUAAAGGGUAUCUGAAAAAAAAUCUAUAUACAAUAUAAACUAAGUAGUAAAAAAUUUGGAGGACAUUUGGCUAAAAAGUGUUAAUUUCCUCUAUGUAUGGAGACUUUUGGGACACCCUUUACUGUCUUGAAAUGAUCAUUUUCUCACAUGAAUUUUUCACUAUUAACAGGUGAAAUGCAGAAUGAACAGAGGUAAACUUAUUUUUUUAUUUUUUUUAUUCUAAAUCUCAGUAGUUACGUCAAGAGAAACAAGGAAACUAGGCAAACCUAGUUUUGCCGGACUGCAGUGUCCCUGCUAUGGCUCGCUGCUUGCUAGCGAAGGAUAGCAAGGUUGAAAUUUGGCUAGAUAGUGUCCACAUGCAACAAUGGGACUCAAUCGACUGAUUGAGUCAGUCAGCUAGGUGGUCCAUUGUUCCUUGGACAUUCAGUUUGAAUGGAUCUUCGCUUCCUGAAGGUUCUACUUGAAACCCUUAUAAUAAGGAACCUAUAUGUUGUCAGGUUCUAAGCUGAACCUCAAAAGCAGGCGUUUCUGCUCUUAACCAAGUCCUGUAGCUGCAUUUGUUCAUUACUAUUAGUUGAUUGAAGAGGAAAAACAGUUGAGUGUAAAGAUCUGUACCCACGAUUUAUCUGGAAUGGAAAUGUGCAGCUGUACCGGGCCUUCGUGGGUAAAAUGUACGAUCCCUGCUUUAAGGGUUAUUCCAUAGGAACAAUCCAGAAAACUCUUAAGCGUUUUUACAUCUGACAUUUGUUUUCUAAGAGUCUAUGCCUACAGCUUUAUUGCGUGUAUUUAUUUUCAUAUAUUUCAGCUUUGGUACAGAAUGGGAAGAUUCUGAAGACAGUGCUAGUGCUUCACUUCAGGACAUUUAUCAGGUGUGUGAUGAUCCAUAGAAAAAUCAGAAGUGUGGCUGCAGGAAUACGGCUAGACCGGAAUCUCCAGUACUAUUCUAUACUCUAAACUAUUAUAAACUAGUCAAAUGAUACACAGCUCACUUUUCUUGGCAAUAUAGAUAUAAGCAAAACGUUAUACGGUAAUCUGUGGUAUUAUAACCCACAACUGUCUCACUGAUAUAAAAGAAUACCAGUUCAAAACAUCCACAGAAAAUGUGCCUAAUGUUUACUGGAUAACAAUUUUGUAUGGUCAACUACUUUUGUAAUUCUAAGGUGACGAUUUAACAAACGUUCCUAUUGUAUACGAACUAUUGCAUAGGAAGCAAUAGCAAGUGUUUUAAACUUUUAAACUAUAUUUCAUUAUUUAGGUCCUUUCUAUUUUCAUUUUAUUUAAAUAUGUAGGCUUAUAUAUGCUUAAGAGUAGCAUUUUCAUUCUAAAUAGGAUAAAUAUUUCUGGUUAAAGAAAUUUCAGAAGGAACAAAUGGUUAGAAUAAGACAAAAGGAAAGAAAAACUAAACACAACAUAGAAGGUGCUUUCUGAUGAAGAGAGAGUCUAAUUCUAAAAAGAUAAGAAUUGGGCACUUUUCAUUUAUUUGCUACUGAUGUAUGUCAACACGUUUCAUCAAAUGUACUGAGUAAGUGCUAUAUCAAGAGACUGACAAGUAAUUAAUUACAUCAGAUGACAGGAACAACUUUUCAGGCAAACAAACAUGACUUAUAGUAUAUAUAAAUAAAGGAAGGUAUUGAAGAAAAACUAUUUCAGGCAUUUGACCUUGCUGUGACCUUGACCGUAUUUGGCUCAAUCGCAAAAUCAAAUCAGUUCAUCCACCGGUAAAAAUUUCAUUUAAAUCCUAUGAACAUUUAAUCUCGUUCUUGAGAUCAUUUGUUGACGAGAAUCUCGGACACAGACCGACAGAUGGACAGACGGGUUGAUCGGUGGACAAACCCAAAAGCAUAUUGCCUUCACCACUUAGUUGUGGAGACAUCAUUAAAAAAAAAAAUCAUGAAAUCAGUUACAAGAAAGGAUUUUGGAUAGAUAGAUACAUUGUCCUGAAAAGAACAUUAGCAUCGUGGAAAAGCAGAUUUCCCAAAAAGAUGUAAUGUUUGAAACAUGGAUUUUUAAAAUAUAUAUUUUUAGAUUUAACCCAAAGACUAUACUGUUAGAAAAUUAGGAAAGGAUUUUUUUGGUGGUCCCUUUGAGGGAACCUUUAAAGGUUCUAUGUGCACUUGACUACAGUACAAUGUCAUUCGGGCGUUUUGAUAUUUUUUGGCUUAUGUCUCUGCAUCACUGUAUUAGUUUGAUUUUAUCUUUGUUUAUGUGGAUGUUGAACUGUUGUCUUUCAAAAUAAAU
Molecule: RNA transcript, 3471 nt
Organism: Ictalurus punctatus (channel catfish)
Lineage: Eukaryota; Metazoa; Chordata; Actinopteri; Siluriformes; Ictaluridae
Exons: 10
Source: RefSeq, a predicted model, not a curated record